UACGUAGGGUGCGAGCGUUGUCCGGAAUUAUUGGGCGUAAAGGGUGCGUAGGCGGUUUGAUAAGUCAUCUGUGAAAUCUCUGGGCUCAACCCGGAGUCUGCAGGCGAAACUGUCGGGCUUGAGUAUGGGAGAGGUGAGUGGAAUUUCCGGUGUAGCGGUGAAAUGCGUAGAUAUCGGAAGGAACACCUGUGGCGAAAGCGGCUCACUGGACCAUUACUGACGCUGAUGCACGAAAGCUAGGGGAGCAAACAGG
RNAcentral lists this ribosomal RNA (253 nucleotides) under uncultured bacterium. RNAcentral's name for it is "partial 16S ribosomal RNA". It matches the Rfam family "Bacterial small subunit ribosomal RNA", at positions 524 to 776 of the family's 1533-position model. The record is from RNAcentral.